RNAcentral lists this ribosomal RNA (504 nucleotides) under uncultured bacterium. Its description in RNAcentral is "bacterial LSU rRNA". It matches the Rfam family "Bacterial large subunit ribosomal RNA", at positions 1749 to 2235 of the family's 2925-position model. The record is from RNAcentral.
UGCCCUCAUUACGUGAACCGCGCACGCGGGGAGCGGACGGGGGUUGCAGAGAAUCGGGGGUAGCGACUGUUUACCAAAAACACAGCGCUGUGCGAAGUCGCAAGACGACGUAUACGGCGUGACGCCUGCCCGGUGCUGGAAGGUUAAGAGGAGGAGUCAGCGCAAGCAAAGCUCCGAAUCGAAGCCCCAGUAAACGGCGGCCGUAACAAUAACGGUCCUAAGGUAGCGAAAUUCCUUGUCGGGUAAGUUCCGACCUGCACGAAUGGCGUAACGACUUCCCCACUGUCUCGGGCAGGGGACUCAGCGAAGUAGCACUGGGGGUGAAGAUACCCUCUACCCACGGCAGGACGGAGAGACCCCGUGAACCUUCACUACAGUUUGACACUGAUUGACGAAAUUUUCUGCGUAGUCUAGGUGGGACGCUUUGAAGCCGGGAUUCUGGUCUCGGUGGAGCGGCAAUAUGAAAAACCACCUGAAAAUUUUGGACAAUCUAACCUACACCCU